CAGAAAUAGGGGUUCCUUGCAGCCCAAAGCAAGCACAAUAUGGGUAUAUAAGAAAAACUUGUGAUGCAUAUCAACAUGUUUGUGUGGCUUUGGACUGAAGGGAGCUCCUAAUUCUU
This is a non-coding RNA of Beta vulgaris subsp. vulgaris (sugar beet), 116 nucleotides long. The record is from Rfam. NCBI's taxonomy places the organism in Eukaryota, Viridiplantae, Streptophyta, Magnoliopsida, Caryophyllales, Amaranthaceae.